Molecule: small nuclear RNA, 111 nt
Filed under: Neogale vison (American mink)
Lineage: Eukaryota; Metazoa; Chordata; Mammalia; Carnivora; Mustelidae
Description: Neovison vison (American mink) U4 spliceosomal RNA (ENSNVIG00000006578.1)
Rfam family: U4 spliceosomal RNA
About the family: U4 small nuclear RNA (U4 snRNA) is a component of the major U2-dependent spliceosome. The structure of U4 snRNA from yeast and human has been reported.
Source: Rfam by way of RNAcentral
AGCUUUGCGCAGUGGCAGUAUCGUAGCCAAUGAGGUUUAUCCGAGGCGCGAUUAUUGCUAAUUGAAAACUUUUCCCAAAACCCUCAGGUUGUUUUUCAGAGUCCAUGGUCU